CCUACGGGUGGCAGCAGUCGAGAAUCAUUCACAAUGGGGGAAACCCUGAUGGUGCGACGCCGCGUGGGGGAAUGAAGGUCUUCGGAUUGUAAACCCCUGUCAUGUGGGAGCAAAUUAAAAAGAUAGUACCACAAGGGGAAGAGACGGCUAACUCUGUGCCAGCAGCCGCGGUAAUACAGAGGUCUCAAGCGUUGUUCGGAAUCACUGGGCGUAAAGGGUGCGUAGGCUGUUUCGUAAGUCGUGUGUGAAAGGCGCGGGCUCAACCCGCGGACGGCACAUGAUACUGCGAGACUAGAGUAAUGGAGGGGGAACCGGAAUUCGCGGUGUAGCAGUGAAAUGCGUAGAUAUCGAGAGGAACACUCGUGGCGAAGGCGGGUUCCUGGACAUUAACUGACGCUGAGGCACGAAGGCCAGGGGAGCGAAAGGGAUUAGAUACCCUAGUAGUC
This 446-nucleotide ribosomal RNA is filed under the name uncultured bacterium. Its description in RNAcentral is "partial 16S ribosomal RNA". It matches the Rfam family "Bacterial small subunit ribosomal RNA", at positions 338 to 795 of the family's 1533-position model. The record is from RNAcentral.